RNAcentral lists this ribosomal RNA (474 nucleotides) under uncultured bacterium. RNAcentral's name for it is "SSU rRNA". It matches the Rfam family "Bacterial small subunit ribosomal RNA", at positions 26 to 518 of the family's 1533-position model. The record is from RNAcentral.
AGGACGAACGCUGGCGGCGUGCUUAACACAUGCAAGUCGAGCGGAAAGGCCCUUCGGGGUACUCGAGCGGCGAACGGGUGAGUAACACGUGAGUAAUCUGCCUUCAGCUCUGGGAUAGCUCCGGGAAAACCGGGAUUAAUACCGGAUAUGACCACUUCGGACAUCUGUUGUGGUGGAAAGUUUUUCGGCUGGAGAUGAGCUCGCGGCCUAUCAGCUUGUUGGUGGGGUAAAGGCCUACCAAGGCGACGACGGGUAGCCGGCCUGAGAGGGCGACCGGCCACACUGGGACUGAGACACGGCCCAGACUCCUACGGGAGGCAGCAGUGGGGAAUAUUGCGCAAUGGGCGGAAGCCUGACGCAGCGACGCCGCGUGGGGGAUGAAGGCCUUCGGUUGUAAACCCCUUUCAGCAGGGACGAAGCGCAAGUGACGGUACCUGCAGAAGAAGCGCCGGCUAACUACGCGCCAGCAGCCGC